GGUUUUUAACCCACUGAGCCAGAAUGGGAACUCCCACACACAGUUUCCUUUUUCAAAAGUGUGUUUUGUUUUCAAGGUUAUUUUGCCAUUAAUUAACAUAGGGGAAUGGGACAACGUGGAUGCCCGAAUCUUUUCGUAUAAUUUUUUACUUGUUGAUCCAUGGCUGGUAUUGGAUUCCAUUUCUGAAAAUCUUCCUGGUGCUCUCUUAUUGCAUUCCUAGGGGCAAGGCAGUCCCUGGAGCACAGCUCUCUUCCCACCUCACCAGGAACUCAGCCUCUUGGCUCACAAGAGAUGUUCCUUCCUUGGCAUCUGAGGACCCAAAUGCUGGAACCCCUGCCUGCCCAGGAAUCAUUCCUCUGGAUAUUUCUUAGGCAUUUUUUCCUUUUGUAAACCAUGCAAUGUUAUUUUAGAACAAUUCUAUUUCCAACGAAUUUUUUUUUUUUUUUUAAGAUUUGGCUUUAAAAAGAUAGGUUUUGGCUAUUCAAAAAGGUUACUUAUAUAAACUGCCUCAUUCAUUCCUAAGCAAAGGGAAUUCAUUCAUGAGACUGGGAACCUGAGCUCUGUCUUCCAGGGAGGGCUUUGGAACCCUAGAGACUAGAGUUUGAAACCCCUUUACAGGCUGAGGCGGGCCAGGGAUGUCCCUUAACCACUCUGUUGCUCCAUCUUCAAAAGGCGAGGAUAAUAUGGCCUCACCGAGGUCUUGGAAGGAUUAAAUGGGAUGGUGUCUGCAGAGACCUCGUGGCAUCAGGCCCCGGCGACUGCUCAUAGGACAGUCUCUUACAAUCACAGCAAGGCAUUCAGACGGCAAGAGCAGCCGUCCUCUCUUGCUACGAAACAUUUGGGUCUAAGUGUCUGAAGUGGUAAUCAUUCAAAAUCUGGCUGUGCGCGUUUUAAAUCUGCUCUGCAGAAAGGGCCCGGAGGAGUUAAACAGGAAUAUCAUUUUUAGUUGUUUUGGAGUUUUUCCUCUUUGUUUAACAUCAAAGUGGUCUGCAGUCCAUUUUGCCAGUUGAUACAUAUUGUUGUACUCACAGAAAGGCUGGAGGAGCUGAGCUGGCUGCCUGAUUAGCUGUGACUCCUUUGCAGACUGGCUGAGAGACCAAAUGGAUUCUACCCCUUUAAGGUUUUAAUGAUAAGGGGGCGGGGGUGGGGAGACGCUCCUUCCUUUUGGAAGGAGACUCUGUGGAGGCCCCGCUAAUAAAUCAUUUGUUCUCUCUGACUGCACUCUCGCAUUCACAUGGGCACAGACUCAGAUGGUUUCCACUUGAAAUUUCUCGUCAAGUGCAAAUAGCUCCCAGCCCGAAUGGGAGAGGCUUUGAGAGGGGAGGCGCAGCUUGUGACCGGUCCCGGGGACUCACGUGUGGGUGUACAAAGCCUGUGCCGCACAGGAAACGAAGUCAAAGGCUCCCUUUGUCCCCACCCCCUCCCCCCCAAGAGGAGAAAAUCAGCCCCAGCGAGGAUUUUGGAGCUGGACGGGCUGGCGCGAUCCUGGAGAAUCACCCCCGAAGCCUGCGCUCUCCCAGGGAACGCUUUGCCAGGCUCUGAAGAAGCUACGCAGGCUCGGGAGGAAAAGCAGCAGCGGAAAAGCUGUAUGGAGGAAGCAGCCUCUGUAUGUUCCAGCUGAGAGAAUGCCCACACGGCCGAGACAGCAAGAGCAAUGGAGUAAUGGUCUAGGAAACAGCUGAAGUGAGCCAACCCGGGGUUGCUAUCUGCCUGCAAAGCAGCGAUAAAAGGAGCGCAAGGCCGUCUGGUUCAAUUUUUGGAGGAUCCACAGCUAUAGGGCCCAGACGUAAGCUGAAUGUGCUUCUGAGGUUGCAAAAAUUGGCUGUUUCUUUGACCAUAUUAUUCACCUGCCUAACUUACUGCUAGAAAACUGCUAAGGAAGACAUUCAGAAUUGGAAAAGGAGAAAAAGAUCUUAAGCAGCAUUGAGAGAUAUUUUAGUGGUUAAGAGGAUGACCUAGGAGUUCCCGUCGUGGCGCAGUGGUUAAUGAAUCUGACUAGUAAACCAUGAGGUUGCCGGUUCGAUCCCCGGCCUUGCUCAGUGGGCUAAGGAUCUGGCGUUGCCAUGAGCUGUGGUGUAGGUUACAGACGCACUAGGAUCCCGCAUUGCUGUGGCUACAGCUCCAAUUCGACCCCUAGCGUGGGAACUUCCAUAUGCCGUGGGAGCGGUCCAAGAAAUGGCAAAAAGACAAAGAAAAAAAAAGAGGAUGGCCUUCAUGGUUUCGACAUGGACUUAUUCUCAUGACGGUGCUGAAAGUUAGGACACAAAUGCCGUGGGGUGUGGUCCUUGCCUGCCCUGACGUAGCUUCACAAUCCUGUUGGGGGCAACAAAGCUAACACAGGCAUUUAAAACAGUGGCAAGACGGAGUUCCUGCUGGGGCGCAUCAGGAUCAGCGGCCUCUUUGGAGUCCUGGGACACAGGUUCGAUCCCUGGCCUGACACAGUAGGUUAAGGAUCCAGUGUUGCCACAGCCUCCUGGUGUAGGUUACAACUGUGUCUCAGAUCUGAUCCCUGUCCCAGGAACUCUAUAUGCCAUGGAGCUGCAAAAAAUAAAUGAAUAUGUAAAUAAAUGAAACAGUUCCAAGAGGCCAGGCCAGGCUGUGGAGGAGAGGGUGGAGAAGGCACAGGACAUAGUCCCUUCCCUCCCCGGCCCUAGGGAGUGCCGGGCCCGGGCGUGUCAUUGCUCUGGCCUGGAGUCCUCCUGUGUAUUAAAGGAGUCAAAUGCAAUAAUCUCCUCAAGUUCCUUAGAGCCUUGAUCUUCAGAAUCUAAUUACCACCACCAGUCAGUCUAGUGUAUAACCCAGCAGUAAAGGGAGGGAGGCAGACGGAGGAUGCUGUGAGACCCUGGGUUCGGGAAGGGCUUGUGUCUCCAUGAACUGGACGGCUGCAGGAGGAACCUCUGCAGAGCUGGGGCUCAGGCUGGACUUGGAAAAGCCGGCAGGAGACCUAGCGAUAAUCGCUAAUCCUGUGAUCGCAAGGUGUGUUUGGAGAACAGGGAGGAGGCCAAACGGUCCCAGCGGUCUGGGAGCGAGAGGGAAGCUGGAAAGUUGGGCUGGGGCCAGCUGGCGGGUGUAGAACUCUGGCCUAAGGAGCUAGAGGCUGAGCUUGUGGGUAAAAGGCGGCCAUGGCAGGGCUGAUGGAACAGAGGGCAGGCUGCUCUAGGUGUGUUUCUGGGACAGCGUGGAAGCAGCCCAGCCCUCAUUUUUGGCACAGGUCCUGUCCCCUCCUUGGCGUCAGAAGCUUCAACUCGCUGCUUUUCCCCACUUGGCGGUGCUCAGUCAACCACCGGCAGAGCACUGGGUCAGAAGACAGGGCAAAAGACAAGGAAGUGAUAAACGGGGACAGUGGUAAUUGCAUUAAAUUUUUUUUUAUUUUGCUAAAAUAUACAUAGCAUAACAUUUAAAUUGUAGCCACCUUUAGGGAUACAAUUUGCUGGUAAGUCCACUCACAUUGUUAUACCACGGUCACCACCAUCCCUUUCCAGAACUUUUUUUAUCAUCUCAAAUAGAAACUCUGUACCUGUUAAACAACAACUCCCCAUUCCUCCCUCCUCCCCUGCCCCUGGGAACCACAUUCUACUUGCUGUUUCUAUCAAUUUGCCUGUUUUAGGUACUGCAGAUGAGUAAAUUCAUACAAUGUUUGACCUUU
Sus scrofa (pig) is the source of this 3646-nucleotide long non-coding RNA. RefSeq lists it as uncharacterized. The record is from RefSeq and is a predicted model, not a curated record. NCBI's taxonomy places the organism in Eukaryota, Metazoa, Chordata, Mammalia, Artiodactyla, Suidae.